Belonocnema kinseyi is the source of this 318-nucleotide long non-coding RNA. RefSeq lists it as uncharacterized. The transcript is spliced from 3 exons. Lineage: Eukaryota; Metazoa; Arthropoda; Insecta; Hymenoptera; Cynipidae. The record is from RefSeq and is a predicted model, not a curated record.
GGGAAUAAAAAAUGAAAUCGUGGUUUGAAAUUCUUGAUUAUUUGAACGAUUUAAACACCAUUUGAGGACGUCCGGUGGAAUUUUUCCAGUUUCUGUCAAGUUGGUUGACAAUUCAGAGAAAAUGUCUUUAUUCAGAAACUCAUUAUGAUCAUGAGCGAGAAUUGGAGUGUCGAACAGUGGAGAAAAUCCAAAAGCUGGUAUCCCAAUCUGUAAAUGGUUCGAACACGUUUCUCGGCAAACAAAAUUCCAUUCUGAUGACGUCACCAUAGUUCCAGGAAUCCUUAUCUACAGUGUUGCCAUGUUUCAACAAUCUUGAAA